CCUACGGGAGGCUGCAGUGGGGAAUAUUGGACAAUGGGGGCAACCCUGAUCCAGCCAUGCCGCGUGUGUGAAGAAGGCCCUCGGGUUGUAAAGCACUUUCAGUGAGGAAGAACGCCUGGUGGUUAAUACCCAUCAGGAAAGACAUCACUCACAGAAGAAGCACCGGCUAACUCCGUGCCAGCAGCCGCGGUAAUACGGAGGGUGCGAGCGUUAAUCGGAAUUACUGGGCGUAAAGCGCGCGUAGGUGGCUUGAUAAGCCGGUUGUGAAAGCCCCGGGCUCAACCUGGGAACGGCAUCCGGAACUGUCAAGCUAGAGUGCAGGAGAGGAAGGUAGAAUUCCAGGUGUAGCGGUGAAAUGCGUAGAGAUCGGGAGGAAUACCAGUGGCGAAGGCGGCCUUCUGGACUGACACUGACACUGAGGUGCGAAAGCGUGGGUAGCAAACAGGAUUAGAUACCCUGGUAGUC
This 465-nucleotide ribosomal RNA is filed under the name Vreelandella stevensii. Its description in RNAcentral is "partial 16S ribosomal RNA". It matches the Rfam family "Bacterial small subunit ribosomal RNA", at positions 338 to 795 of the family's 1533-position model. Lineage: Bacteria; Pseudomonadati; Pseudomonadota; Gammaproteobacteria; Oceanospirillales; Halomonadaceae. The record is from RNAcentral.